UUAUCUCUGUUGGGGAAGAGGCCAUGGGACAGAGAGCAGAUGCAGGUGGAGAGGUCUACCUCCCUCUCUUCCCUCCAACCUUUGGUCAACAAUGGACUGAGAUGUCACUGCUUCACUACAAGUGGCUGAAGCAAUCUGGAGCUCAGAGCUGUCCCAGGCCCUCGUCCUCUAAGGUCCAGUUAGGCCCCUCUGUGCUCUCCCCACAUGCUGAUCAGCGGAUUAGACCUCAGAGGAAACAUCAAGUCAAGAGUGUGCCAGAGAAAGAGAAAGGCAUGUGGGCAGCAUGGGAUGAAUGCUGGUUUCACACGAACAUAAAACUGUUCAGGAAGGAGGAAGAGGGGUCUGGUCAUGUGAAAUCUGUCUGACCAGGUGACAGUGAAAGUGUUGCAGAGCAGACACAAAAUAGGCGAUGUGGUCACGUUUCUACGGUGUCAAAAUAUGAGUUAUCAGCCUUAACAGGAAAAUCAAUACCAGCCAAGAUUGUCAUGUUGAUGCAUCUCUGAUGUGUGUUAUUAAAAGUGGACAGAUUUAACUCUUUAUCAAUGAAAUUAUUUCACUUUUACCAAGAAAAAAUUAUACCUUAUAGUGUUAACAAAGAUUCAACCACCCACUGGGAAUUAUUCUCACAUUUAAAUCACAUCGAAACAAUUUCGUAAGAUUUCUUUUAAGUGCAAACGGCCAAGGAUAUGUAGAUGGUGUGUGUGUGUGUCCUGCUUUGGGAGUUGCAGGUUGGACACACACGGCACAAUAUGGGCUUUAAUUCAGACCAACAGCCGUCUCUGUGAAAAAGGAGGGGACAAGGCAAUUAGCCCCGGGGAGGAGAGAGAAAAAGGAGAGAACGAAGGGAAUUGUGAAUUUGACACGUUAAAUGGUGACCAUCAUUAGCAUGUGGUUGUGUAGAGUUGUAUUCACUGGAUCCUUGAAUGCAUAUUGCUUCACUACUAUGACCAUAGCCCCACCUCUCUCCUCAGUCUGUCCAUCAUCCCCACGGCCACCUUUCAGCCGUAAUCACCCUGUUUGGCCUCCGUUUUCUUUCACUUUCUUCGUCCUUUCUGACGCUUUCAUGGUUUUUAUGCUGUCAUGCUGCCUGGAACCCCUAAAUCAAAACAAAUUAAGCUGAGUAAUUAGAUGUAGGAACAAAUACAUGUUGGGUAGUAGCUGGUAGGCUCAGCACCAGUCACAGCAUGAGCUUAUCUUUCCAGUCUCACAAUGUAACCUUGACACUGUUUACUGAAACCUGCAGAUUCUCCCCAGCACUUCCUGCAGAGGUUUUUAAUUUUAGAAGACAUUAAAAACUCGUUUUGACUUGAAUACGUCUUUUACUGUGCAGAGGACCGGACAAAGCUUGUGUUCCUGCUAACGCUAUUAUAUAAGCUGGAAAAGAGCAAAGUAGUGCGCCCAGUGUGGUGCCUUUUCCUCCAUUGUGCAGAGAUCGCCUCAUGCCAGCUUUCCCCCGUCACAUUAGUGUUCAUCAGCCCAGUGAGCAUCAGACAACCUCACAGAAAGGAAGGCAGUCAUCUUCCUUUCUGCUCACUCAGCAGUUUAGUACAGGUGAUUUUUAUUUAUUUAUGUGGCAUAAAAAGGAAGGUGUGAAAACUAGACUUGGGUGGUUUCCAAACUUUAAUACCGUCUAGCUUCCUCCACAUUUACCAAGGUGCUUGGUAUUACAGGGACUAAUUUAAAAAUGAAGACGUGCGCGUCAAGUGGAAUUACCAAGCUGUUAGUUUGGACCUUCAGCUUUCAGAAACUGAAUAACAAACACUAUUACUAAAACAAUAGCAUAAUAACAGCUGUUUAAAAACGCAACUUAUACAAAUAUUUUUAGCCAGAAAAGAAAAACCAGCAUGUUUACCUUUUCCGGCUUCAACUUCUAACUACUGAAAACCUGCUUCGAUGAGCUUGUGGCACUGACAUGAGUACUUUGGUACUAUAACAUCUGGGGAAGGCUGGCAGCUUAUUUUUCACCAGAAAAGUGCAUUGUUGUCUCUUAACACCAGGCUCCAGACAGAAAGGUGCUUUCAGCUAUGGUGCCGAUGGAGCGUGCAUCUUUCGUUAUCGACUUUUUGUCAUGGUCUGUGUCCCUUUGGUCCCCAACCCCCUCCAGGUUUCCCUCAUGUUCCCGCUAGUCACUUCACUUGUUUUUAGUUUUCUAUAUGUUCAGAUUAUCUUGUCAUAUCUCUUUAAGUGUGUUGUGUUUCUUUCCUCACUUAGGUCAUUAGUUUACUUAUCUUUAGAUCUCCUGUGUCUUUGUUCAACAGUGUUUAGGUUUAUUUUAGUUUAGUAGCUUUUGUUUUACAGGAUUUAGAUCUGGUUUUCUCCCCUGUCUGUUUCUGCUCCUCCUCUCAGUUCAUUAGUCUCACCUGUGCCCAAUUCCCUUAAUCACCCAGCCCCUGUGUACAUAACCCUGUCCUGUCUCUCAGUGUUUUGUUGGUCCAUUGUCUUUGUCAGCGUUUUUCUAGUUGCCUCUUGUGCUUUAGAGUUUUUUUAGUCACUCCUCCAGAAAUAAAGGAUUCUUAUUUUUGCAACUGCUCCUGCCUGUGUAGUUCUGGGUUCUUGCAUUUUGGGUCCAAGCCUCCCUUCCCACAUUGUGACCCUUUGUUAGCACAAUUUACCUCAUCAGUGUUAACCAGCUCUCCUUUUAGGUUUGCUUCAAACCAGAAAUACUCCCAAACUGCAGAAGUUGUGUUGUUUUAGCUGUCAUUUUACUCUUGGCGCGCCGUCCUCGGGAUGACAUCACUUUCAUAAACUUUAUGGAAAGAAUAGAAUAGAAUAGAAUACUUUAUUUGUCAAUUUCUUGGAAUGUGCUUGCCAUACAAGGAAUUGAAAUUACGUUUCACACUGUCCCAUGCAUAGACAUUAGCAUAAAGUGCAGUUGCACAACAAUAACGAAAACAAAAGAACAUCCCUAACAAUAAGAUAAUAUUAAACAGGUAAAUAUUGCUAAUAAUAUACAAAACAUAUAGCAGCAGAUGUGUGCAAUUGCAAUGCAGAGGUAGUUGUUUACAAUCAGAAAUGUUUACCCUGUUCUUGGUUCAACCACUAUUUCCUUUUUGUAUAAUGUGUGUGUGUGUGUGUGUGUGUGUGUGUGUGUGUGUGUGUGUGUGUGUGUGUGUGUGUGUGUGUGUGUGUGUGUGUGUGUGU
Molecule: long non-coding RNA, 3141 nt
Organism: Nothobranchius furzeri (turquoise killifish)
Lineage: Eukaryota; Metazoa; Chordata; Actinopteri; Cyprinodontiformes; Nothobranchiidae
Source: Ensembl